Molecule: long non-coding RNA, 1816 nt
Organism: Cyprinus carpio (common carp)
Lineage: Eukaryota; Metazoa; Chordata; Actinopteri; Cypriniformes; Cyprinidae
Exons: 7
Source: RefSeq, a predicted model, not a curated record
GGCUAUGGUAGGAUAUAUUUUGCAUUUGCGAUGUUUAAUUAAAUGUUCCAAUUAUUUAACUUACCCUAUAACUAGCCUACUGUAUUUAGGCCUAGGCUACUAUACGCCAUUUCGAUCGUGAGCCGAAAAACAAAACAAAACGACGACUAGAAAAGAUUAAAUAAAUAAAUAAACAAUUAAAUAAAUAAAUACGUGGCCAAUGUGGGCUUCCGUAGACUGUCACAAUUUUGGGUUGCUGCAUUCUAAACUUGAAAUCUACUACUUGCUAGUUGCUACUAUUUGAUGCUAUCUACAUUAAUCAGUUUCUUAAUUCAGAUUUCUUCUAAAUUCAGCUCCAUACUGACAAAAAAAAAAAAAAAAAAAAAAAAAAAAACCUGUAUGGACUCCUGAAACGCAAUCCAUUUAUGGAGCUCACCCAAGAGCACUCCAGCUGUUUUCCCCACAUGGUUGUGAUUUUGAAUUCUGCGCGGGAGCACAGGCAGCGCUCUGGCUCAGCCCACCGCCAAGAGAGACUGCUGCCCCAAAUAAACAGCUACAGGAGAGAUGAAAUGAAAGAGUGGAUUACAGCGAAGGGAAAACAGAGUGUUCUUUGAGGGCCGCAGGGGUACAGAGUGAUGUGAUGAGCUAAAGAGACUGGCUGACACUCAGAGAAGAUUUUCACUCUGCUCCGCAAGUGCCUGUGAGGUUUUAAAGGUGUGGACUUACACUAUUUACAUGAAUGCGAAGAUGUUGGUUCCAAUUCAUAGGUAAUUGUCCCUUCUGGGUCUGGAUGCUGGGAGUCUUGAAGGAGCCUAGCUCAAGAUCAUGGCGAGUGCUAAUCUUCUUAUACUUAAGGGAUAUCAUUGGCAUCAUGAUGAGUAAUUCUCUGGACAUCCUUUGAAAGGUGGGCCAUAGCCAACAGGCAGGUGAAAUCAUGCCACACUACACCUAUCUUGCCCAGAUGGCUCUGGCAUUCUCCGCCAGAGAAUUACUUCUCAGACUGGAAAUGGCGCCUUCAUCGAAAAUGAGGUCAAUCGAUUAUUUGAGCCUGGGCUGAGGCUUUCCCCCUUUGCUGCAGUGUAACAGCAAGUGCCUUCUCUUAAUUGGCGUGUGAGGGAGUUCAACACCCUGUGAAGAACCUGAAAGAAAACAGUCACAGGGCAGUGCUGUCUCCUCCUCAUUUACUGUGUGAAUGUGUACAGUAGGUCCAGGCACACAGUGUUGUGACUGAAUAAAGCGUGUCUCAACUCCUUCUCAUUAAUGUUGCCUAAACACACCCACACACACACAGACACAUUGCUGUCUUCACAUAGCUCAAAAUAACCCCAGUAAAGCAGCAGCCAUUUAUCUGUAUCUGGGGAACUGAUCCAAUUACAGAGCUUACAUUUGCAUCCAUCAACCUUAGAGGGGGAAAAUUCUCUGUGAAAAACUGGUCAGCUUCUUUCACCCAAAAAAAAGAAAGAAAGAAAAGAUGAUUGCCCCUCAUUCUCCUGCAUAACUUCCAUCAUCGGGCUUGGCUUUCUUCCCCAGGUGGGCUGCAGAUAAUGGCCGCUGACUCCUGCUAUCUCACAGAGCAGUGCAUCAGAACAGCCAUUAGGCUAAAUAUCAGUGUCAUAAUGUUGAACAGAUGUCUAGAAGAAAGGGAUCAUUUAAAAAGGCCAAAUGUAAAUAAACAGGCAGCUUGUAGACCUCCCUUCAUCCCCUCUUUCCUCCGUCCCCCGCUCCUCUCCCCCCGUUCUCGUGGACCCUGUGUAGUGCCCAAAAGAAAACAGUUCAUCAAUCUUAAUCUGAACCAUUAAGAAUGUAAUAAUACUAGCCGCUUAUCUAGGCAAAGUGG